RNAcentral lists this ribosomal RNA (1174 nucleotides) under Acinetobacter baumannii. RNAcentral's name for it is "partial 23S ribosomal RNA". It matches the Rfam family "Bacterial large subunit ribosomal RNA", at positions 1775 to 2925 of the family's 2925-position model. The record is from RNAcentral. Lineage: Bacteria; Pseudomonadati; Pseudomonadota; Gammaproteobacteria; Moraxellales; Moraxellaceae.
AGCCGCAGAAACCAGGCCGCUGCAACUGUUUAUUAAAAACAUAGCACUCUGCAAACACGAAAGUGGACGUAUAGGGUGUGAUGCCUGCCCGGUGCUGGAAGGUUAAUUGAUGGGGUUAGCGUAAGCGAAGCUCUUGAUCGAAGCCCCAGUAAACGGCGGCCGUAACUAUAACGGUCCUAAGGUAGCGAAAUUCCUUGUCGGGUAAGUUCCGACCUGCACGAAUGGCAUAAUGAUGGCGGCGCUGUCUCCAGCAGAGGCUCAGUGAAAUCGAAAUCGCUGUGAAGAUGCAGUGUACCCGCGGCUAGACGGAAAGACCCCGUGAACCUUUACUGCAGCUUGACACUGAACUUUGACCUUACUUGUGUAGGAUAGGUGGGAGGCUUUGAAGCUGGAACGCUAGUUCCAGUGGAGCCGUCCUUGAAAUACCACCCUGGUAAUGUUGAGGUUCUAACUCUGUCCCGUGAUCCGGGACGAGGACCGUGUCUGGUGGGUAGUUUGACUGGGGCGGUCUCCUCCUAAAGAGUAACGGAGGAGUACGAAGGUGCGCUCAGCGUGGUCGGAAAUCACGCGUAGAGUAUAAAGGCAAAAGCGCGCUUAACUGCGAGACCCACAAGUCGAGCAGGUACGAAAGUAGGUCUUAGUGAUCCGGUGGUUCUGUAUGGAAGGGCCAUCGCUCAACGGAUAAAAGGUACUCUGGGGAUAACAGGCUGAUACCGCCCAAGAGUUCAUAUCGACGGCGGUGUUUGGCACCUCGAUGUCGGCUCAUCUCAUCCUGGGGCUGAAGCAGGUCCCAAGGGUAUGGCUGUUCGCCAUUUAAAGAGGUACGCGAGCUGGGUUUAGAACGUCGUGAGACAGUUCGGUCCCUAUCUACCGUGGGCGCUGGAAAUUUGAGAGGAUCUGCUCCUAGUACGAGAGGACCAGAGUGGACGAACCUCUGGUGUACCGGUUGUGACGCCAGUCGCAUCGCCGGGUAGCUAUGUUCGGAAGGGAUAACCGCUGAAAGCAUCUAAGCGGGAAGCCUACCUCAAGAUAAGAUUUCCCUAGGACUUUAUGUCCUCUAAAGAGCCGUUCGAGACUAGGACGUUGAUAGGUUGGAUGUGGAAGCAUAGUGAUAUGUGAAGCUGACCAAUACUAAUUGCUCGUGAGGCUUGACUAUACAACACCCAAGCAGUUG